AGAGAGAGAGAGAGAGAGAGAGAGAGAGAGAGAGAGAAGGAAAGAGUGGACCAAGAUAUAUACUAGUUCGGUGAUAUUGUCCUCGUAGGCACCUACGUCUAGUCUUCGAUGGUGAAGAAACGGAAUAUUCUUUCUUCCAUUAAUAUGAUAUUUGAGUUCGGUUCAUGUUACAAUAAUUCAGACAAGUAAAAGAUAAAUUAUAAUAAUCCAAUCUAUCUUCUUCCUUGCUUCUUAAUAGAACUUUCUUGCAACUAGAUACCACCAUUAAACUUUGAUCUUUAUCCAAGAUAUUGAUCUUCAACUUUUGAUGGAUUCUAGUCUUGAAAAAUUUCUCAAUCUUCACUCAAUCUUAAAAUUGCAAGCCUUGAAUCCUUCUCUUCAACAAGCUGACAGAUCCACAGAAAACUCCACUACUAUGAAGAAAAACUCCUUCUUCUUUUUCCUUCUAGAAAUUUCCAGCCUAUGAAAUUUCCAAGAUUAAAAUACCUUUUUGCAAAAAUCUACACACUUUAAUGAACAAUUAGAUCUCUAAUGUUUCCCCACAAUUAAUCAUCACACACACACAAGAAAAUGUUUUCCAUGAGCAUGAUUAAGAUGAAAACUUGAGAGAGAAAGAAGUUGUGUUUGCAAAGCUUUUUCUAACUGAAAAAAAUUUGAUCUCUUGUGAAAUGAAGAAAUGAAACCCAUAUUUAUAGGAACAAGAGAUAGUGCACAAGAAAUGAGUAAAAAAUAACUAAAUGAAUCUAUUCAUUAUUUCCAUGACUCAGUUCACUUAGGGAAGUUGACCUGAGUUGAGUAUGAAAUGAAUCAAUUUAAAUUCGCAUCCUGAAUCAAGUCGCAACCCUUACUCAAUCAAUUCAAUUUGGAAUUUUAGAUCUCUGACUCAUUUUAAAUUUUAUUCUGACUCGAUUCGAGCAAACAUAACUAAAAUCAACUUUAGAGGCACUUUCGUGAAUCGAUUCAUGAAGUCCUUGACUCGAUCGGAAGUCACAAAAAACUUUGAAUCAAAUAAGGAAAGCUUCUGAAUCAAUUUAUACAGCUAUGACUUUUAGUUAACUGAACAUAAUGCAUGGACAACCUUCUUUAACAUGUGUUUGAUGAUUAAUAAGAAAGAAAACUCAAAAUAAACAAUAAACGUAAAACAAAGCAUCAAAAUAAAAAAAAUCGAUAUGCUGAUAAAGAGCAAUUUCAGUCUCCCCUUUUUGAUGCUUGACAAUUUGAUUAAUUUUGAGUUACACUGGGUCAUGCUCCCCGUGCGUAAAAGACUUAAUCACACGAAUUACAAUUUCCAAACGAGAAUCCUUUCUCCCCUUUUGACAAAAUGAAAGAGGAAGAUGGAUAAAAACGAAAGAAAACAAAUUGUGAUAACACAUAAACAAUAACCAAAGCGGAAUCCAACACAAAAGAAAACUCAAAGCGCAUAAAAGAACAUCUCAAACAAUAUGCAAUUUCAGUUAAGUAAGAGAAAAUGAAGCUAACUAGCAAAGUUUAAGCAGACAAAGUGACAAGAGAAUUAUCCAAAUUACAACCCAAAAUAUAACAAAAUAGAAAUAGUUAAAUUAAAUACAAAGAUGUAAGAUGCAAAUGGAUGAUAUUUCGGUUAUAAUGAUGAAUGAGUAUGAGUGAUGAGAGAAAAGAACGAAGAUUAUGAAAUGAAGAGAGAGAAGAUGAAAUGUAAAUGAAAAUAGAAGUGAAAAGAGAGAAGACCGAAAAAAAUGGAAAAAAAAUCAAUACAAAAAAAUUGUUUUAUUAAAAUAAUGAAAUGUUUUUUUUUUAAUAUUUGACUUUAUGGUGAUUUGAAUUGAGAUGCUUUGAACUUUGAAUUGAAAUUAUCUACUACGUAAAUUAUUUUCAUGAAUUAAUGGAGUACUAUUAAUGGUGAAUGUAGUUAAUGCUUUUCAAUUUAAUUCACAUAUUUCAUGAAAUCUAACACAUUAGGUGAGAAUUAAAGGUGAUGUUUGAAAAAAAAAAGUGAUGUGUGACCAUUCUUU
This 1991-nucleotide long non-coding RNA is filed under the name Lathyrus oleraceus (garden pea). Its description in RNAcentral is "Pisum sativum (pea) long non-coding RNA (PSAT_LNC039479)". Lineage: Eukaryota; Viridiplantae; Streptophyta; Magnoliopsida; Fabales; Fabaceae. The record is from RNAcentral.